AACACAAGAUCCAGCGCACUCACCCAUCCACUAAACAGCAACUUCAAAGUUGCUGUUUAGUGGAUGGGUGAGUGCGCUGGAUCUUGUGUUU
RNAcentral lists this microRNA precursor (91 nucleotides) under Pelobates cultripes (western spadefoot toad). The record is from RNAcentral. Lineage: Eukaryota; Metazoa; Chordata; Amphibia; Anura; Pelobatidae.